GGUUAAGCGACUAAGCGUACACGGUGGAUGCCCUGGCAGUCAGAGGCGAUGAAGGACGUGCUAAUCUGCGAUAAGCGUCGGUGAGGUGAUAUGAACCGUUAUAACCGGCGAUUUCCGAAUGGGGAAACCCAGUGUGUUUCGACACACUAUCAUUAACUGAAUCCAUAGGUUAAUGAGGCGAACCGGGGGAACUGAAACAUCUAAGUACCCCGAGGAAAAGAAAUCAACCGAGAUUCCCCCAGUAGCGGCGAGCGAACGGGGAGGAGCCCAGAGCCUGAAUCAGUGUGUGUGUUAGUGGAAGCGUCUGGAAAGGCGUGCGAUACAGGGUGACAGCCCCGUACACAAAAAUGCACAUAUUGUGAGCUCGAUGAGUAGGGCGGGACACGUGGUAUCCUGUCUGAAUAUGGGGGGACCAUCCUCCAAGGCUAAAUACUCCUGACUGACCGAUAGUGAACCAGUACCGUGAGGGAAAGGCGAAAAGAACCCCGGCGAGGGGAGUGAAAAAGAACCUGAAACCGUGUACGUACAAGCAGUGGGAGCCUCUUAAUGGGGUGACUGCGUACCUUUUGUAUAAUGGGUCAGCGACUUAUAUUCUGUAGCAAGGUUAACCGAAUAGGGGAGCCGAAGGGAAACCGAGUCUUAACUGGGCGUUAAGUUGCAGGGUAUAGACCCGAAACCCGGUGAUCUAGCCAUGGGCAGGUUGAAGGUUGGGUAACACUAACUGGAGGACCGAACCGACUAAUGUUGAAAAAUUAGCGGAUGACUUGUGGCUGGGGGUGAAAGGCCAAUCAAACCGGGAGAUAGCUGGUUCUCCCCGAAAGCUAUUUAGGUAGCGCCUCGUGAAUUCAUCUCCGGGGGUAGAGCACUGUUUCGGCAAGGGGGUCAUCCCGACUUACCAACCCGAUGCAAACUGCGAAUACCGGAGAAUGUUAUCACGGGAGACACACGGCGGGUGCUAACGUCCGUCGUGAAGAGGGAAACAACCCAGACCGCCAGCUAAGGUCCCAAAGUCAUGGUUAAGUGGGAAACGAUGUGGGAAGGCCCAGACAGCCAGGAUGUUGGCUUAGAAGCAGCCAUCAUUUAAAGAAAGCGUAAUAGCUCACUGGUCGAGUCGGCCUGCGCGGAAGAUGUAACGGGGCUAAACCAUGCACCGAAGCUGCGGCAGCGACACUAUGUGUUGUUGGGUAGGGGAGCGUUCUGUAAGCCUGUGAAGGUGGCCUGUGAGGGUUGCUGGAGGUAUCAGAAGUGCGAAUGCUGACAUAAGUAACGAUAAAGCGGGUGAAAAGCCCGCUCGCC
RNAcentral lists this ribosomal RNA (1296 nucleotides) under Escherichia coli. Its description in RNAcentral is "partial 23S ribosomal RNA". It matches the Rfam family "Bacterial large subunit ribosomal RNA", at positions 1 to 1338 of the family's 2925-position model. The record is from RNAcentral. Lineage: Bacteria; Pseudomonadati; Pseudomonadota; Gammaproteobacteria; Enterobacterales; Enterobacteriaceae.